This 253-nucleotide ribosomal RNA is filed under the name uncultured bacterium. RNAcentral's name for it is "partial 16S ribosomal RNA". It matches the Rfam family "Bacterial small subunit ribosomal RNA", at positions 524 to 776 of the family's 1533-position model. The record is from RNAcentral.
UACGGGGGGGGCAAGCGUUGUUCGGAAUUACUGGGCGUAAAGGGCUCGUAGGUGGCCAACUAAGUCAGACGUGAAAUCCCUCGGCUUAACCGGGGAACUGCGUCUGAUACUGGAUGGCUUGAGAUUGGGAGAGGGAUGCGGAAUUCCAGGUGUAGCGGUGAAAUGCGUAGAUAUCGAGAGGAACACCUGCGGCGAAGGCGGGUUGCUGGGCCGACACUGACGCUGAUGCGCGAAAGCCAGGGGAGCGAACGGG